AGUGAACGCUGGCGGUAGGCCUAACACAUGCAAGUCGAACGGCAGCACAGUAAGAGCUUGCUCUUACGGGUGGCGAGUGGCGGACGGGUGAGGAAUACAUCGGAAUCUACUUUUUCGUGGGGGAUAACGUAGGGAAACUUACGCUAAUACCGCAUACGACCUACGGGUGAAAGCAGGGGAUCUUCGGACCCUGCGCGAUUGAAUGAGCCGAUGUCGGAUUAGCUAGUUGGCGGGGUAAAGGCCCACCAAGGCGACGAUCCGUAGCUGGUCUGAGAGGAUGAUCAGCCACACUGGAACUGAGACACGGUCCAGACUCCUACGGGAGGCAGCAGUGGGGAAUAUUGGACAAUGGGCGCAAGCCUGAUCCAGCCAUACCGCGUGGGUGAAGAAGGCCUUCGGGUUGUAAAGCCCUUUUGUUGGGAAAGAAAAGCAGCAGGUUAAUACCCCGCUGUUCUGACGGUACCCAAGGAAUAAGCACCGGCUAACUUCGUG
Molecule: ribosomal RNA, 492 nt
Filed under: uncultured bacterium
Lineage: Bacteria
Description: partial 16S ribosomal RNA
Rfam family: Bacterial small subunit ribosomal RNA
Source: RNAcentral